AUGCUCUGGUUUGAUUGCUGUUGCAGGUCAGAGAUGGCGGACCGAGCUAACCACCCGUCUGUCAUGCAGAAGUUUGGUGGACAGUUCCACCUUGCCUCCAGCUUCUCUGAGGGUGUUCGUGCUCGCAACAUCUGCCCUUCUGUGCCAUCCUAUGAGAGGCGCUUCACCACAAGCAGCUACAUGACUCAGAACCUUGGCAUCAGUGUCCCAAUCAUGUCAUCUUCUCCAAUGUUUGCCAAUGCACCCCCUGAGAAGAAAGGUGUCAAGAACUUUGCGAUUGAUUUCCUCAUGGGAGGAGUGUCAGCUGCAGUUUCCAAGACUGCUGCAGCUCCCAUUGAGCGUGUUAAGCUGCUUAUCCAGAACCAGGAUGAGAUGAUCAAGGCUGGCAGGCUCUCUGAGCCAUACAAGGGUAUUGGUGACUGCUUUGGGCGCACCAUCAAGGAUGAAGGCUUUGGCUCAUUGUGGAGAGGAAACACUGCUAACGUCAUCCGUUACUUCCCAACUCAGGCUUUGAACUUUGCUUUCAAGGAUUACUUCAAGAGGAUGUUCAACUUUAAGAAGGACAAGGAUGGUUACUGGAAGUGGUUUGGUGGCAACCUUGCUUCUGGUGGUGCCGCUGGUGCUUCCUCGCUGUUCUUUGUGUACUCCCUUGACUAUGCUAGGACAAGGCUGGCCAAUGACGCAAAGGCAUCCAAGGGUGGAGGUGAAAGGCAAUUCAAUGGCCUGGUUGAUGUCUACCGCAAGACUCUCAAGUCAGAUGGUAUUGCUGGGCUUUACCGUGGAUUCAACAUCUCCUGUGUUGGAAUCAUUGUCUACCGUGGUCUGUACUUUGGACUCUAUGAUUCUCUGAAGCCAGUUCUCCUCACUGGCACUCUCCAGGACAACUUCUUUGCCAGCUUUGCUCUUGGUUGGUUGAUCACCAAUGGUGCAGGUCUUGCAUCUUACCCCAUUGACACUGUCCGCAGAAGGAUGAUGAUGACCUCCGGAGAGGCCGUCAAGUACAAGAGCUCCUUGGAUGCUUUCCAGCAGAUCCUGAAGAAGGAGGGUGCCAAGUCCCUCUUCAAGGGGGCUGGUGCCAACAUCCUCCGUGCCAUUGCUGGUGCUGGUGUGCUCUCCGGCUAUGAUCAGCUCCAGAUCCUCUUCUUCGGCAAGAAGUACGGCUCAGGCGGUGCCUAG
RNAcentral lists this ribosomal RNA (1176 nucleotides) under Triticum aestivum (bread wheat). RNAcentral's name for it is "partial small subunit ribosomal RNA". The record is from RNAcentral. Lineage: Eukaryota; Viridiplantae; Streptophyta; Magnoliopsida; Poales; Poaceae.